RNAcentral lists this ribosomal RNA (252 nucleotides) under uncultured bacterium. RNAcentral describes it as "partial 16S ribosomal RNA". It matches the Rfam family "Bacterial small subunit ribosomal RNA", at positions 524 to 776 of the family's 1533-position model. The record is from RNAcentral.
UACAGGGGGUGCAAACGUUGCUCGGAAUUAUUGGGCGUAAAGCGCGCAGGCGGUCGUUCAAGUCGAGUGUGAAAGCCCCCGGCUCAACUGGGGAGGGUCACUCGAUACUGAUCGACUCGAAGGCAGGAGAGGGUAGUGGAAUUCCCGGUGUAGUGGUGAAAUGCGUAGAUAUCGGGAGGAACACCAGUGGCGAAGGCGACUACCUGGCCUGUUUCUUGACGCUGAGGCGCGAAAGCUAGGGGAGCAAACGGG